RNAcentral lists this RNase P RNA (337 nucleotides) under human gut metagenome. RNAcentral's name for it is "Bacterial RNase P class A". It matches the Rfam family "Bacterial RNase P class A". Rfam says of the family: Ribonuclease P (RNase P) is a ubiquitous endoribonuclease, found in archaea, bacteria and eukarya as well as chloroplasts and mitochondria. Its best characterised activity is the generation of mature 5'-ends of tRNAs by cleaving the 5'-leader elements of precursor-tRNAs. The record is from RNAcentral.
UUCCGGACAGUCGCGGGCAUGGCUUUGCCGUGCGUGAGGAAAGUCCGAGCUUCAUAGGGCAUGGUGCCGGAUAACGUCCGGUGGAGGCGACUCUAAGGAAAGUGCAACAGAAAUAUACCGCCGGGACUUAUUCCGGUAAGGGUGGAAAGGCGAGGUAAGAGCUCACCGCCGUUUCAGGUAACUGUUACGGCCUGUAAACCCCACCUGAAGCAACAUCGUAAAGAGGGGAGUUAAGUUUGCCCGACGUUCCCCGGGUAGAUGGCUUGAACCGUGCGGCAACGCACGGUCUAGAUAGAUGACUGUCUGAAAAACAGAACUCGGCUUACAGGGAUACUCA